RNAcentral lists this ribosomal RNA (782 nucleotides) under uncultured bacterium. Its description in RNAcentral is "bacterial SSU rRNA". It matches the Rfam family "Bacterial small subunit ribosomal RNA", at positions 8 to 796 of the family's 1533-position model. The record is from RNAcentral.
AGAGUUUGAUCAUGGCUCAGAAUCAACGCUGGCGGCGUGCCUAACACAUGCAAGUCGAGCGAGAAAGGGUAGCAAUAUCCGAGUACAGCGGCGCACGGGUGAGUAACACGUGGGUAAUCUGCCUCGAAGUGGGGAAUAACACCGGGAAACCGGUGCUAAUACCGCAUAAUCUGGCGAAGUCUGCGGAUUUUGUCAGCAAAGGAGCAAUUCGCUUUGAGAGGAGCCCGCGGCUGAUUAGCUAGUUGGUGAGGUAAUGGCUCACCAAGGCUACGAUCAGUAGCCGGUCUGAGAGGACGGUCGGCCACACUGGAACUGAGACACGGUCCAGACUCCUACGGGAGGCAGCAGUGGGGAAUUUUUGGCAAUGGGGGCAACCCUGACCAAGCAACGCCGCGUGGGUGAUGAAGUCUCUUGGGACGUAAAACCCUUUCGACAGGGACGAAAGCCGCAAGGUUUGACGGUACCUGUAGAAGAAGCCCCGGCUAACUCCGUGCCAGCAGCCGCGGUAAUACGGGGGGGGCAAGCGUUGUUCGGAAUUACUGGGCGUAAAGGGCGCGUAGGCGGCUCACUAAGUCGGACGUGAAAACUCUGGGCUCAACCCAGAGCCUGCAUCCGAAACUGGUGGGCUAGGGUACUGGAGGGGAAAGCGGAAUUCCUGGUGUAGCGGUGAAAUGCGUAGAUAUCAGGAGGAACACCGGUGGCGAAGGCGGCUUUCUGGACAGUAACCGACGCUGAGGCGCGAAAGCUAGGGGAGCAAACAGGAUUAGAUACCCUAGUAGUCC